Molecule: ribosomal RNA, 554 nt
Filed under: uncultured euryarchaeote
Lineage: Archaea; Methanobacteriati; Methanobacteriota
Description: bacterial SSU rRNA
Rfam family: Archaeal small subunit ribosomal RNA
Source: RNAcentral
ACGGGGUGCAGCAGGCGCGAAACCUCCGCAAUGCGGGAAACCGCGACGGGGGGACCCCCAGUGCCGUGCCUCUGGCACGGCUUUUCCGGAGUGUAAAAAGCUCCGGGAAUAAGGGCUGGGCAAGGCCGGUGGCGCCGCCGCGGUAAUACCGGCGGCCCGAGUGGUGGCCACUAUUAUUGGGCCUAAAGCGGCCGUAGCCGGGCCCGUAAGUCCCUGGCGAAAUCCCACGGCUCAACCGUGGGGCUCGCUGGGGAUACUGCGGGCCUUGGGACCGGGAGAGGCCGGGGGUACCCCCGGGGUAGGGGUGAAAUCCUAUAAUCCCGGGGGGACCGCCAGUGGCGAAGGCGCCCGGCUGGAACGGGUCCGACGGUGAGGGCCGAAGGCCCAGGGGAGCGAACCGGAUUAGAUACCCGGGUAGUCCUGGCUGUAAAGGAUGCGGGCUAGGUGUCGGGGCGAGCUUCGAGCUCGCCCGGUGCCGUAGGGAAGCCGUUAAGCCCGCCGCCUGGGGAGUACGGCCGCAAGGCUGAAACUUAAAGGAAUUGGCGGGGGAGCAC